GCAAGUCUGGUGCCAGCAGCCGCGGUAAUUCCAGCUCCAAUAGCGUAUAUUAAAGUUGUUGCAGUUAAAAAGCUCGUAGUUGAACCUUGGGCUUGGUUGGCCGGUCCGCCUUUUUGGCGAGUACUGGACCCAACCGAGCCUUUCCUUCUGGCUAACCUUUCGCCCUUGUGGUGUUUGGCGAACCAGGACUUUUACUUUGAAAAAAUUAGAGUGCUCAAAGCAGGCCUUUGCUCGAAUAUAUUAGCAUGGAAUAAUAGAAUAGGACGUUAUGGUUCUAUUUUGUUGGUUUCUAGGACCAUCGUAAUGAUUAAUAGGGACGGUCGGGGGCAUCAGUAUUCAGUUGUCAGAGGUGAAAUUCUUGGAUUUACUGAAGACUAACUACUGCGAAAGCAUUUGCCAAA
Molecule: ribosomal RNA, 401 nt
Filed under: uncultured Debaryomyces
Lineage: Eukaryota; Fungi; Ascomycota; Saccharomycetes; Saccharomycetales; Saccharomycetaceae
Description: SSU rRNA
Rfam family: Eukaryotic small subunit ribosomal RNA
Source: RNAcentral